This 492-nucleotide ribosomal RNA is filed under the name uncultured bacterium. RNAcentral describes it as "partial 16S ribosomal RNA". It matches the Rfam family "Bacterial small subunit ribosomal RNA", at positions 29 to 507 of the family's 1533-position model. The record is from RNAcentral.
AGUGAACGCUGGCGGUAGGCCUAACACAUGCAAGUCGAACGGCAGCACAGUAAGAGCUUGCUCUUACGGGUGGCGAGUGGCGGACGGGUGAGGAAUACAUCGGAAUCUACUUUUUCGUGGGGGAUAACGUAGGGAAACUUACGCUAAUACCGCAUACGACCUACGGGUGAAAGCAGGGGAUCUUCGGGCCUUGCGCGAUUGAAUGAGCCGAUGUCGGAUUAGCUAGUUGGCGGGGUAAAGGCCCACCAAGGCUACGAUCCGUAGCUGGUCUGAGAGGAUGAUCCGCCACACUGGAACUGAGACACGGUCCAGACGCCGACGGGAGGCAGCAGUGGGGAAUAUUAGACGAUGGGCGCAAGCCUGAUCCAGCCAUACCGCGUGGGUGAAGAAGGCCUUCGGGUUGUAAAGCCCUUUUGUUGGGAAAGAAAAGCAGCAGGUUAAUACCCCGCUGUUCUGACGGUACCCGAAGAAUAAGCACCGGCUAACUUCGUG